UGUGAAAGAUUCAAAUCAAGAUCACCAUCUCUAGAUGCCAUCCCUGCAGCUUUAUUUGCUGGCCUGUAAAAUUUCAAUAAAACUAUAUAAAUCCAACUAUUUACAAUUUUUUGGUAACAAACAACCUGUCACAAUGCAAUAAGUAAAUCUAAUAAUGCAUGAACCAGGCAAAAAUCUUUACAAGCUUGUCACCUGAAUCCAUUUCAACAAAAAUGCUCCAUUCUAGCUCCAUUUUUUCAAUACGAAACAGAUUCUCGAAAAUUUAUCUUAUUGCUUCCCUUUCCAUACACAUUGGCUUUGUCUACUACACUAAUUCUGCAUGCACUACACGGCGAGAUAACACAAAUGACAACAUUAGGACCGAAUCGUUGGACCUAUUAAUUUAUACCCUCCGAAUGAAUAUAAUCCAAUUGAAGAAUCAAUCCAUUACGAUUUCACUACACACAAAAACUUCACUCACCCUUUCCUGCUUGGUCUAUGGAAUACCUCGUCCAAAAGUUCCUUUCUCAACUUUAGAGCGGAGCCUUCCAGAUUGACCCUGCGCACAAAAAAACAAAUACAAUAUCCUUUCUUUAAUCUCAAUUUCUUAAACUAUAACAGCAAAGCGUAGGAUGCUCGUGAUUUGAAGGUAACUAACUAUAUACACUAUGCUACACAAUAGGGAUCAUCAACCAUUAAGAUACAUAAAGAGCAAAAAGCUCUCAAAACAUUCAAUUCAAGUAUUCAACAGAAAUAUAAUACAAGAAACNNNNNNNNNNNAUCAAAAGUCAAAAGGAAAACCAUCAAAGGCAAAACAUGAUCAAAAUCAUUUCAAUCCAUCAUUCCAAUUUCCAUGUGCAUAUGCUUAUUAGUUAAAAAGGAAUGAUUGUUAGGAACAAAAAGGACCACAUUUAAGAAUCAAGAACAAAAAUUUCCCAAAAGAACAGAAACAAAAAACUUGAAAAUUUCUAACCCAGAAUCUUCUUCUUGAAAGAUCCAUCAGGUGCCUUUUCCAAACCAACCCAACCAUCAUUCAUCUGCAUCAAAAGAAGUCAUUAAAAAACAAACACAUACUGUAAAAAAAUUAACUCGGAAAAAACCACCAACACACAAAAAUUAGUAGAAUCAUCUUUACCUCUUUCUGAUAUUGUGGUCAUAGUGAUUUUUCUAGUCACCUGAGUUUAUUAACAUCCAAAGAUCAAAUUUCAUGGAGGAGCCUUAUCCUUCCAUGGAGCCUGCAAAAAACAACAUAGAAAACCAAUUAGAGAGAUGAAUAUUGACAAAUUGAGAAAGAUGAAAUCUAGAAGAUGAAUUUAGAGAUACAUCAC
This 1307-nucleotide long non-coding RNA is filed under the name Trifolium pratense (red clover). RNAcentral's name for it is "long non-coding RNA (TPRA_LNC003596)". Lineage: Eukaryota; Viridiplantae; Streptophyta; Magnoliopsida; Fabales; Fabaceae. The record is from RNAcentral.